This 459-nucleotide ribosomal RNA is filed under the name uncultured bacterium. Its description in RNAcentral is "partial 16S ribosomal RNA". It matches the Rfam family "Bacterial small subunit ribosomal RNA", at positions 338 to 795 of the family's 1533-position model. The record is from RNAcentral.
CCUACGGGUGGCAGCAGUGAGGAAUAUUGGUCAAUGGGCGGGAGCCUGAACCAGCCAAGUCGCGUGGGGGACGAAGGUCCUAUGGAUUGUAAACCUCUUUUGUCGGGGAACAAAUGCGCCUACGUGUGUGCGGAUGAGCGGAUCCGUACAAAACGCAUCGGCAAAUUCGGUGCCAGCAGCCGCGGUAAUCCGGAGGAUCCGAGCGUUAACGGAUUUUAUUGGGUUAAAAGGGUGCGUAGGGGGACAAUAAAGUCAGCGGGAAAAAUGCGGUGCUAAACGCCGUACUGCCGUUGAAACGGGGAGUCUUGAGUGGACGAGAGGUAAGCGGAAUGCGUGGUGUAGCGGUGAAAUGCAUAGAUAUCACGAAGAACACCGAUUGCGAAGGCAGCAUACCGGAGCCCAACUGACGCUGAGGCACGAAAGCGUGGGUAUCGAACAGGAUUAGAUACCCCAGUAGUC